GCGGUCGUGGCGGAACUGGCAGACGCGUGCGUUUGAGGGGCGCAUGGGAGACCGUAUGGGUUCAAGUCCCAUCGACCGCACCA
RNAcentral lists this transfer RNA (83 nucleotides) under Clostridiaceae bacterium. RNAcentral's name for it is "tRNA-Leu". It matches the Rfam family "tRNA". From Rfam's summary of the family: Transfer RNA (tRNA) molecules are approximately 80 nucleotides in length. Lineage: Bacteria; Bacillati; Bacillota; Clostridia; Eubacteriales; Clostridiaceae. The record is from RNAcentral.